Molecule: ribosomal RNA, 370 nt
Filed under: uncultured bacterium
Lineage: Bacteria
Description: bacterial SSU rRNA
Rfam family: Bacterial small subunit ribosomal RNA
Source: RNAcentral
AACGAACGCUGGCGGCAGGCCUAACACAUGCAAGUCGAACGCACCGCAAGGUGAGUGGCGCACGGGUGAGUAACACGUGGGAAUGUACCCUUUGGUUCGGAAUAACGUUUGGAAACGAACGCUAAUACCGGAUGAGCCCUGCGGGGGAAAGAUUUAUCGCCAAAGGAGCAGCCCGCGUCUGAUUAGCUAGUUGGUGGGGUAAAGGCCUACCAAGGCGACGAUCAGUAGCUGGUCUGAGAGGAUGAUCAGCCACACUGGGACUGAGACACGGCCCAGACUCCUACGGGAGGCAGCAGUGGGGAAUAUUGGACAAUGGGCGCAAGCCUGAUCCAGCCAUGCCGCGUGAGUGAUGAAGGCCUCGGUUGUAACU